GUGAGUCAUCGAGUCUUUGAACGCACCUUGCGCCCCUUGGUAUUCCGAAGGGCAUGCCUGUUUGAGUGUCAUUAAAUUAUCAACCUUGCUCGCUUUUACCGGCUUGAGUUAGGCUUGGAUGUGAGGGCUUUGCUGGCUUCCUUCAGUGGAUGGUCUGCUCCCUUUAAAUGCAUUAGUGGGAUCUCUUGUGGACCGUCACUUGGUUGUGAUAAUUAUCUACGCCAUUUGACUUUGAAGCAAACUUUAUGGGAACCUGCUUAUAACCGUCCUUUCGAGGUACAAUCUUUGUCAUUUUUGACCUCAAAUCAGGUAGGACUACCCGCUGAACUUA
This 331-nucleotide ribosomal RNA is filed under the name uncultured fungus. Its description in RNAcentral is "eukaryotic LSU rRNA". The stretch from base 1 to 71 matches the Rfam family "5.8S ribosomal RNA", at positions 84 to 154 of the family's 154-position model. Lineage: Eukaryota; Fungi. The record is from RNAcentral.